UACAGAGGUGGCUAGCGUUGUUCGGAAUUACUGGGCGUAAAGGGCGCGUAGGCGGUCCGUUAAGUCCCGUGUGAAAUCCCUCGGCUCAACUGAGGAACUGCACGGGAAACUGGCGGGCUUGAGUUCGGGAGAGGGAAGCGGAAUUCCGGGUGUAGCGGUGAAAUGCGUAGAUAUCCGGAGGAACACCGGUGGCGAAGGCGGCUUCCUGGACCGACACUGACGCUGAGGCGCGAAAGCUAGGGGAGCAAACGGG
This 253-nucleotide ribosomal RNA is filed under the name uncultured bacterium. RNAcentral describes it as "partial 16S ribosomal RNA". It matches the Rfam family "Bacterial small subunit ribosomal RNA", at positions 524 to 776 of the family's 1533-position model. The record is from RNAcentral.